Long non-coding RNA from Sus scrofa (pig), 1118 nucleotides. RefSeq lists it as uncharacterized. NCBI's taxonomy places the organism in Eukaryota, Metazoa, Chordata, Mammalia, Artiodactyla, Suidae. The record is from RefSeq and is a predicted model, not a curated record.
GUCUUUUUGCUAUUUCUUGGGCCGCUCCCACGGCAUAUGGAGGUUCCCAGGCUAGGGGUCGAAUCGGAGCUGUAGCUGCCAGCCUACGCCAGAGCCACAGCAACGCAGGAUCCAAGCCGCGUCUGCAACCUACACCACAGCUCACGGCAACGCCGGAUCGUUAACCCACUGAGCAAGGGCAGGGACCGAACCCGCAACCUCAUGGUUCCUAGUCAGAUUCGUUAACCACUGCGCCACGACGGGAACUCCUCUUUCGUGUUUUAUUUCAGGGCUUCACUGGCAGCAUAUGAAAGUUCCCAGGCUAGGGGUCAAGUCAGAGCUACAGCUGCUGGCCUACACCAUAGCCACAGCCAUGCCAGAUCUGAGCUGCACCUGCAACCUACACCACAGCUCACAGCAAUGCCGGAUACUUAACUCACUGAGCGAGGCCAGGGAUUGAACCCACAUCUUCAUGGUUGCUAGUCAGGUUUGUUACUGCUGAGCCACAGCAGGAACUCCUGAACUGCUUCCUGAGGAGCUAACUGCAAGAGCCCUUUAGGGCUGCCUUUCCUGCUUGGGGGUAGUGGAUCCUGAUCCAGCUUGAAGCAAGGCAACAGGGGGUGUGUUCCAAAGAGAAGCCAGGGGUACACUGAAGGAGCCUUUCCGCCAACAGCCUCGAGCACCAAGGUAAUGGGAUGGUUGCUGUAAAUCAGAGCAGCAGAGACCAUUUCUAAUCUUUGUGUGUAUGUGUGUAGUUAUUCUUUUUUAUGCAUUUUUAUCAUGAAAUAAUGCAAAUUAAUUCAAAUGUAUACACAAGAAGGAACAUAAUAUAAUGAUGACUUUAUACCCACCACCCAGCUUUAUCAAACAUUAACUUUUGGCAGUUGUUACAGAUUGAAGGCGCCGGAUCCUUGACCUGAUGGGCAGGGCUGGGGGGGUCGAGCCUGAAUCCUUAUGGAUGCUGGUCAGGUUGUUGCUGCUGAGCCACAAGGGAACUCUAAUAACUGGAUUUAGGUCCAAAGAAGACAGCCAUGUACAAAUCAGGAGGAGAGACCACAACCCCACCACACCACCACCCUGAUCUUAGACCUCCCAGCCUCCAGAACCAAGCAAUAAAUUUCUGUCAUUUAAGCCUCCAA